UAUAUUUGCAAAUGAAAAACUGAACUAUAGUCUGAUUCAGUGUCUCAGGCAUACAGGCUUGUUUUUGGGUGUCUGUUUACCAGGCUACGGAAUUCUAUUAUGAGAGAAUCUAUGAGAGAAUCGAUGCUAUUUUUAGAAGACGACAGCAACGUUGGCAAAAGAUAUGUGUAGUAGUCUUUUUUUGUUUACUUUUAGUAAAAGUUUGGUAUUGAGCCUAGGAUGACAAUAUCUCAGCUUGCAAUCUAAUUUACUCAGAUAUGUAUUUUGGCAUGCUGUAUUGUCGUAUGCAAAACAACAGUAGUCUAAGUUAGAAUAAUGGGAGCAAAGGGUGAUAUUUAAAGAGGCUGUGGCCACACAAGGCUCACCAUUUCAAAGGCCAAGGCUUAGCCACAGAUAGUGUUCUUGGGGUGAUGCACUCCCAUGACUAAGGUCUGCAGAAGGGACAGGGUUUGAUUUUGUCUUCUUUUGUUUUGAAAUCUGUUGUACACAAUAUUUCAAAGAACUCUGCUGAGUAUGUUCCACUUCAGAAGUGCAUACGCCUAAAGCCCCAGGCAUGGACUUAAGAGUCUGGGGAAAUACUGAAGUCUGCUCUAACCAGAACAGAAGAGCGCUGAGGAGACAUGAGGUGUUUUAAUUAAGACUCUGAAGAAGAAAGAAAGCAUUUGGGUAUGAGCCAGGGUACCUUACGUAAGGAGAAAGAAGCUGAUUGACAUCUAGAUGUUUCAAACUGAUCUGCUGCUCUUAAUGGAGUCAGGACGUCUUGUUGCUCACAUGGAGACUUUGAAGACGACCAUUUACGUAGCUUGCUCCAUGGGAACGCUGACAGCCACUGUUACUUUCCCGUACAAAGGAGAAAAGGGUUAUUGUGACCAGCAGCAGUGUGACAAGGAGAAAUUUCAAAAAGAAAAUGAGACAUUUUUGAGAAGAAAAUGUGAGCUGAUGGAAACCUGAAUAAAAGGCAACCAUAAGUUUUUCCCCGGAAGAAACCAGAGGAGAGAAUAGGAACUGAAGACCUAACUCUACACUCUUGUCAACUCUAAAUGAAUUUUUGUAAACCACAUUUAUGUUUAUCUUGCCCUCUGGAAGCAGACAGAAAGAUACACUUAGGUUUCAGUGAUAACUGCCUGAAGUAAGGAAACAGACAGUAUGAUAACAUUCUUUUCAUAUCUCAAUGACCUUGAAUAAAAUGAUAGAGUACGUAAAUAUAAUGUAAAUU
This 1216-nucleotide long non-coding RNA is filed under the name Struthio camelus australis. Its description in RNAcentral is "lncRNA (ENSSCUG00000005536.1)". The record is from RNAcentral. Lineage: Eukaryota; Metazoa; Chordata; Aves; Struthioniformes; Struthionidae.